AGCGAACGCUGGCGGCAGGCCUAACACAUGCAAGUCGAACGAACCUUUCGGGGUUAGUGGCGGACGGGUGAGUAACACGUGGGAACGUGCCUUUAGGUUCGGAAUAACUCAGGGAAACUUGUGCUAAUACCGAAUGUGCCCUUCGGGGGAAAGAUUAAUCGCCUUUAGAGCGGCCCGCGUCUGAUUAGCUAGUUGGUUGAGGUAAUGGCUCACCAAGGCGACGAUCAGUAGCUGGUCUGAGAGGAUGAUCAGCCACAUUGGGACUGAGACACGGCACAAACUCCUACGGGAGGCAGCAGUGGGGAAUCUUGCGCAAUGGGCGAAAGCCUGACGCAGCCAUGCCGCGUGAAUGAUGAAGGUCUUAGGAUUGUAAAAUUCUUUCACCGGGGACGAUAAUGACGGUACCCGGAGAAGAAGCCCCGGCUAACUUCGUG
Molecule: ribosomal RNA, 434 nt
Filed under: uncultured bacterium
Lineage: Bacteria
Description: partial 16S ribosomal RNA
Rfam family: Bacterial small subunit ribosomal RNA
Source: RNAcentral